Molecule: long non-coding RNA, 3863 nt
Filed under: Homo sapiens (human)
Lineage: Eukaryota; Metazoa; Chordata; Mammalia; Primates; Hominidae
Description: HSALNT0294640
Source: RNAcentral
UCAACAGAUAAUGGAAGGCCACUGAAGGCUUUCUGAACAGGAGUAGAAUCUUUUUAUAUUUUAAAACUAGUAGACUACAGUAAGUGAGGAAGAUGGAGGGAUGAAAGACGACAACUUUUGUUCAUUUGUUUGUUUGUUUUGCCUGGGUGACUAUCUGCAUGAUGGUAUCUGCUAGAGAUAGGGAAGUCAGAAGAAAGGGCCAAAUCACUGGAGAAAGAAAAUGCUUUACUUGGACAGUCUGGAUGGGAAGUUCCAGUGAGUCAUCCUGGUGGCAAUGACUGGCAGAUUGUUGGAAAUGGAGGAGCUAAAGCGAGAGAGGCUAAGAAUAGAGAUAUGGAUUUGGGAGUUAGUGGCAAAUAGAGUUAAACUAUGGGAAUGUAUAUGAUGGCCUGAGAAGAAAUUAUAGGAGAAGUAAGAAGGACUAAGGGCUGAGCCUGGGAGACAGGACAUGGAGGGGAAAGGCAGCUGAGAGGAGCCUUGAAGAAGACUGAAGAGGAAUAAUUGCUACUGAGGAGAAGCAAGGCAGUUCAGUGUGAUGGAUGCCAAAAGAUGGAGAAGUCAAGGAGGUGGCCACCUGCUGGAGAGUGCAUGUCUCCACUGCCUUCCUCAACCUCUGCAUGUGGAGUCUGCACUUGACAAGAUCAAUGGUGUUCCUUGUUCUGAAGAGGAGAAACAGUAAAAAAUUUGCCAAGGACCCAAGAUAGAAGACUGUGGGCCCAGAUCCUAAUGUAAAAGAAGCCUGCCUCAACUUAAUUUUCCUGGACAGCAAGAGCUAUGAAAAUGAACUGGGUGAAUAUUGGUGUUUUCAGCUUGAGGUUCCAAUGAAUUAGGACAAUCAGAAGGAAGAGUUUAAUUUUGGGGUCUAGCAUGAGACCAUUCAGUUCAAACUUUCAUUUCACAGUUAGGAAACUAGACCCAGAGAGGCACAGUGCUUCGGCUUGAUGCUAAUAGACUGAUUUUGGAAGGCAGUUGAGCUGGAAGACACAGAUCUGGGGGCUGUCAGCCAAGGGCUGAGAAGGAUGUGAAUUAAGAAGGUGGGAAGGGAAUUGAUGGUUAAGGCCUGAGUCUUGAGAGAAACCCAUGGCCAGGAGCAGAGGAGUUAAGAUUCAUUCAGAAAUGCUCCUACAGACGUGGGAGAACAAGGAUUGUUCAGUAUAAUGGAAGCCAAAGGAGAGGGUUUUGAGGAGCAAAAGACUAGCCAACAGUAGCAAUUGUGUCAAGGUGAUCAAGGAAUAAGAUGUAAACAAUUGUUGGAUUUAUAAUAUGAUUUUAAAAGUGCAGUUUCAGUAAAGUGGUAAGAAUGGGAGGACAAUCAAAUGGCACGUGGUGUGUGUGUGUGUGUGUGGAGGUUGUGGUGUGUGUGGGGGGGGAUGUAUGUGUGGAGAGUGUGGCAUGAGAUGCAUGUGCAUAUGUAUGUUUAGGAUGAGGUGUGUGUGGAGAGUGAGAUGUGUGUGUGUAGGAUAUGAGGUGUGUGAGCUGUGUGUGUGUGUGUGUGAUGUGUGUGUAGGGUGCAGUGUUGUGGUAUAUGUGUAUGUGUACAUGGUGUGGGGGGUGCAGGGUGUGUGUGUAUGUAGGAUGCGGUGUGUGUGGAGAGUGAGAUGUGUGUGUAGAGUGCAAUGUGUAUGGGGUGUUUGUAGGGUGCGCUGUACAUGUGGGCAGUGUGUGUGUAUUCUGACUGAAUGCUGAGCACUGGUGCUUGAGCUCUCCUGCCCUGCCUGGGAGGUGGUGUGUCUGAGGUGAGGGGAAGGCUGACCCAGCUGAUGGGUCCUGUGAGGCAGAGGUUGAGGAGGGAGCCAGAGAUGAGAACCAACAACAUGCUCCAGGAAGAGGGACAGGCGCAGAAGCAAGGGGACACCAGACUGGAACAGAUGGACUCAUGCAGUUGUUCCUUGAUGGCCUGUUCACAUAUAGCAUUUGCCAUGUCCCACAAAUGCAGAAUUCUGGUGGAACCACAGUGCGUGGAAGUUCCAGGAGACUGAAAGUGGUGCAAGGUUAAGUGUGUUACAUAUGUAAUUGAGUAAUCAGGGGUGCUGACAGCCCGACAGGCCAUGCCUUCCAUUCGAACCAGAGCUUGCUUCACAUAGAAAGAAAGCAAUGGCUUUCUAAGGAAUGUGGACAAGUGAGGAACCCUAUCAUAUCCUUCUUACUCAUUUCUUCCCUGUGUUAACCAACCACUUACGCUGAAAAUGAUGACACAGAAGAAAGGGAAAGACAGGACAACCCAUAGUUCCUUUUCCUUUCAGCCCUUCCUUACUCAUCAGUAAGCUGAAGGUCAAGAGUAUUGAUGGAACAUGCACGUUAUCAAGAAGUAAAAUUAAAACAGUUGAGUUAGUUUUGUGCAGUGUUCCCGCUGCUCUGGUAAGGACAAAAUAUAUACGCAAGUAAGAGCUAGGAAAUAUGAACUGUGUAAUUUCAAUGAUUCCACGUAUGAGUCAAAUGCACUUAUUUUCAUUUACAACUAACACUACACAACAUAAAGAAUAGUAAAAUUCAUACUAAUAAUUAAAUUUUAAAUUUUUCUUUACUUAAAAUGACAUUAAAUAUCAAAUUAAAAACAUCAUGACUAGUAAAAAAAAAUUGUGGAAGAAAGAAAAAGUUUUAUGCUUUGGUGACCCUUAAUGGCCUUAUUUCCCUCUGGUUUUUGAACAAGGAGCUCGAUAUUUUCAUUUUGUACUGGGCCCUGAAAAUUAUGUUACUGGCCCUGGGUGAGAUGGUUGUUUAUAUUUGUAUGACCAGGGUCAAAAAACAGUCUUGGAACCACAGGAGCAGGGAAGAUUCACCAAUAAAUUGAUGAACACAAGUCUUCAUCAUUACCCACACACACUCACUGGCCCCUCAACAUUGGUAACAAUGGCCAUGGGUGGAGAGUUAAGAAGAUGAUAACUCCCAGAAAACUAUGCUUUUUCUGCUGAUAACUCUUCAACAUCUCACCACACCCAAUAUCUCUGCUUUUGUUAACAAACCAUGAACUGCUUCAAGUUGUCAUACCCUUUCUCACUGUCUUUCUUCUGAUUGGAACGGCCUGGUGAGAGCAGGCUGGUGGGAACACACACCUUCCGAAAGGCCCUCACCACAGCAGAUCACUGCUGGCGUCCGAGCUACUUCCUGCUUGUCCUGUUGUGUCCUUCAUCAGUGACCGCACUCUUGGAGUGCUUGCCUCUGGCUCCUGUUUUCCACCCAUUUCUCAGCCUGGUAACUCCUGGUUUCCAGUCUUAGUGGGCCCACUGCUCUGCUCCCACCUCCUGUGAUAGGGUCGGGAGAGCCGCCAACCCCACUUGACUCCUGGACCCCAUCCAGGCUGUGGUAUGUGCCAGCACCAUCUUCCCAAAGGAUGCUGCCCCUCCCUGAGGCUCAUGGUAUAGCUCUUCUCCCAUAUUCAUACCCCCGUCUUGAAGCCUGGCCCACAUAGGGUUUCCAGAAAGCCUUCCCCGAACCACUAAUAGAAACCCUACUAUACUCACACCUUCCUUAAGAGAUACUUCACAAACCCAGUUUUGUGCGGUGCAAAGGGGAUGAAAUCAGAAAUAACAUAGGUUUAAAUCCUGGUUAACUAACUGAUUUUUGAGUCUGUCAAUAAACCUCUCUGUGCCUCAAUUUCCCCAUCUACAAAAACAGGAUUGUGAUACUUACCUCAUAGGAUCAUUGUGAGGAUUAUGAGAAAUAGCACAGGCAAAGCACCUAGGUGCUGCCUGGCAUGUCCCAGCACUCAGUAAAAGCUCCCCCAACACUUUUCUCCCCCUGCUGGGGUUGGGCACCAUGCCUUAUUCAUGCCUUUAUUCCUUGCAGCACCUAGAGUAACAUCUUGUGGCUGGCAGAUGAUCAAUGCCUGUGGAUUGAAUUAAAUUAAAACUUUCCUUGUGUUA